AUUUAAAUAGCUUAUAUUUAGAGCAUAACACUGAAGAUGUUAAGGAAAUGAAAAAUUUUUAAAUA
Molecule: transfer RNA, 65 nt
Filed under: Grigoriora cheni
Lineage: Eukaryota; Metazoa; Arthropoda; Insecta; Orthoptera; Tettigoniidae
Description: tRNA-Phe
Source: RNAcentral